GACGAACGCUGGCGGCGUGCCUAAUACAUGCAAGUUGAGCGCUGAAGGCUGGUACUUGUACCGACCGGAUGAGCCGCGAACGGGUGAGUCACGCGUGGGGAAUCUGCCUUUGAGCGGGGGAAAACCAUUGGAAACGAAUGCUAAUACCGCAUAAAAACUUUAAACACAAGUUUGAAGUUUGAAAGAUGCAAUUGCAUCACUCAAAGAUGAUCCCGCGUUGUAUUAGCUAGUUGGUGAGGUAAAGGCUCACUAAGGCGAGGUUACAUAGCCGACAUGAGAGGAUGAGCAGCCACACUGGGACUGUGACACGGCCCAAACUGCUUGAGGUGGCAGCAAUAGUGCAUCGGCGGCAAUGAGCGAGAGACUGACCGAGCAACGCCGCAGGAGUGAAGAGGGAUGUCGGAUCGUAAAACUCUGUUGGUAGAGAAGAACGUGGGUGAGAGUGGAAAGCUCAGCAAGUGACGGUAACGACCCAGAAAGGGACGGCUAACUACGUG
RNAcentral lists this ribosomal RNA (497 nucleotides) under uncultured bacterium. Its description in RNAcentral is "partial 16S ribosomal RNA". It matches the Rfam family "Bacterial small subunit ribosomal RNA", at positions 28 to 507 of the family's 1533-position model. The record is from RNAcentral.